GGCUAAUCCUCCACCUAGUGGCUCCGGCACACCGGGUUCUAGUCCCGGUCGGGGCGCCGGAUUCUGUCCCGGUUGCCCCUCUUCCAGGCCAGCUCUCUGCUGUGACCCGGGAUGGCAGUGGAGGAUGGCCCAAGUGCUUGGGCCCUGCACCCCAUGGGGAGACCAGGAGAAACACCUGGCUCCUGCCUUCAGAUCAGUGCGGUGCGCCAGCCACAGCAUGCCAGCCGUGGUGGCCAUUGGAGGGUGAACCAAUGGCAAAAGGAAGACCUUUCUCUCUGUCUCUCUCUCUCACUAUCCACUCUGCCUGUCAAAAAAAUAAAAAAAAAAGAAUUAAACAAGUAGUAAAUAGAAAAAUCACUGUUCCUCAAGAAUAUAGAUAAGGGCUACAAAUGAUAAGUCUAAAAAUGUCAAAUUCACUCAUAUACAUUACAGUUUUUUAUUCUGUAUAUUAGUUAUAACAAAUUGGGGGAAAAUGUGAUAUUUGGCUUUUGUGGACUGGCUUGUUUCACUAAUGAUAAUGGUUUCCAGUAGCAUUCAUUUUGUUCCAAGGGACAGGUUUUUAUUCUUUUUUAUGGUUGAGUAGUAUUCCUUAGUGUAAAUGUGCGUGCGUGCGUGUGUGUGUGUGUGUGUAAUCACAUUUUCUUUAUCUAGUUAUCAGUUGAUGGACAUCUGGUUUGGAUCCACAUCUUAGCUAUUGUGAAUUAAGAUGCCAUAAACAUGGGGGUACAGAUAAGUCUUUCAUAUAAUGACUUCAUUUCCUUUGGGUAAAUUCCCAGGAAUGGGAUUGCUGGGUCACAUGAUAGAUCUAUUUUCAGCUUUCUGAGGUAUCUCCAUACAGUCUUCCACGUUGGCUGUACUAGUUUACAUUCCCACCAGCAGUGGAUUAGGGUGCCUUUUCCCCCAGCAUCCUCACCACAUUUAUUGUUAGUUGAUUUCUGUAUGAGAGCCAUUCUAACUGGGGUAAGGUGAAACCUCGUUGUGGUUUUGAUUUGCAUUUCCCUGAUGGUUAGUGACCCUGGCACUUUUUCAUGUGCCUGGCUAUUUGGAUUUCCUCUUAUGAAAAAUGCCUGUUCAUGUCCUUAACCUAUUUCUUAACUGGAUUGUUUGCUUUGUUGUUGUUGAAUCUUUAUAGAUUCUGGAUAUUACUCCUUUAUCAGUUCAUAGUUUGCAAAUAUUUUCUCCCAUUCUGUUGGUUGCCUCUUCAUUUUGUUGAUUUUUUUCCUAUGCAGCACAGAAGUUUCAUAGCUUGAUAUAAUCCUCUUUGUCUAUUUUUGUGUUUAUUGCCUGUGCUUCUGGGGUCUCAUCCAUAAAAUGUUUGCCUAUGCUACUGUCUUGUAGAGUUUCCCUGAUGUUUUUCUCUAGUAAUUUGAGGUAUAGGGUCAUGGAUUUAGAUUCUUGAUGGAUUUUCAGUUGGUUUUUGAAUAAGGUGUAAGGUAGAGGUUUUUCUUCAUACUUCUGCAUUCAGAGAUCCAAUUUUCCCAGCAUUCAUUUUAGCUUUUUUGUAUAAUAUUCAUUUUUUAGAUGGGUGGAUUGAUCUCUGGUUUCUAUUCUGUUCAUUUGGUCUGUAUGUCUAUUUUUGUGCCUGUACCAGUUUUGAUUAUACCCUAGUAUGUCUUGAAAUCUGGUAUUAUGAUGGCUAUAGCUUUGUUUUUGUUUAAGAUUGCUUUAGGUAUUUGGAGGUCUCUUGUGUUUUAGGAUUGUCUUUCCUAGAUCUGAGAAGAACUUGUUGGUCUUUUGAUUGCAUUUACAUUGAAUCAAUAAAUGUUUUUAGUAGUAAUAAGAUUUUGUUUAUAUUAUUCAAUCACAAACAUGACAGUUUUUUCAUUUUUGUCUUUUUCUUAAUGUUUUGUAAUUUUCAUUGUAGAAAUCUUGCACACCCUUGAUUAAAUUUACUUCAAUGUAUUUAAAUGUUUUGGAGCUUCUGUAAAUCUGCUAUUCAUACAAGUUCUUGGUCAGCGAGAUAUUGUCUGUGAAUACAAGGCUAUUGAUUUUUGCAUGUUGAUUUUAUAUUCUGCGAUUUUACCAAACUCUCUUGAGUUACAAUACUCUCUUAAUGGAUUCUUUUGGUUUCACUACAUAUAGAUUAUGUCAUCUGCAAAUAGAGAUAAUUUGACUUCCCCCUUUCCAUUUUGAAUCCCUUUGAUUUCUUUUUUCUUUCCUUCACGGCUCUGGCUAAAACUUCUAGAAUUAUAUUGAUUAGUAAUAGUGAAAGUGGGCAGGAAUCAUUGUCUUGUUCCAGAUCUUAGUGGAAAUGCUUUAAAGCUUUUCUUUGUUUAAUAUGAUGUUCCUAUGGGUUUGAAUGUUCUUCUAUACCCAAUUUAGUUAAGGUUUUCAUCCUUAAAGGAUGUUAUAUUUUAUCAAAUGCUUUCUCUGCAUCUAUCAAAAACUCAUGCUUUUAUUCUUCAGUUUGUUAAUGUUUUUUAAUGUAUCAUAUUCAUUGAUUUUUAUAUGAUGAACCCUCCCUACAUACCAGGGAUAAAUCCCACUUUGUCUGGGUGAAUGACCCUUCUGAUGUGUUGUUGUAUUCAAUUAGAUGGUAUUUUGUUAAAGAUUUCUGCAUUUAUGUUCAUCAGGGAUACAGGUUUAUAGUUCUUUCUUUGUUGUAUCUUUUGCUAGUUUCAGAAUUAAGAUGAUGCUGGCCUCAUAGAGUUUGGGAGGAUAACCUCCCUUUCAAUUGUCUUGAAUAGCUUGAGAAGAAUUGGAAUUAGUUCUUCUUUAAAUGUCUGGUAGAAUUCAGCAGUAAAACAAUCUGGUCCUGGGCUUUUCUUGGUUGGGAGGGUCUUUAUUACUGAUGAAUCUCUGUCUUGGUGAUUGGUCUGCUUAAGUUUUCUGUGUCUUCAUGACUCAAUUUUGGUAGAUUGUAUGUGUCUAGAAAUCUUUCCAUUUCUUCUAGAUUUUCUACUUUUGGGCAUAUAGUUUUUUUUAUAGGACUUAUUUGUUGUUUUGUACAAUGUGAAUUAAUGCUAUAACUAGUACUCAAACAGUACUUCACACUUUGUGUUUCUGUGUGGAUGCAAACUGUUGACAUUUUCACUUAAUAUAUACUUAAUCGAUCUUCUGUAUAUAAAGAGAAUUGAAAAUGAGUCUUGAUGUAAAUGGAAUGGGAGAGGGAGUGGGAGAUGGGAGGGCUGAGGGUGGGAGGGAAGUUAUGGGGUGGAAAAAGCCAUUGUAAUCCAUAAGCUGUACUUUGUAAAUUUAUAUUUAUUAAAUAAAAGUUUUAAAAAAAUAUUUAUUUAAAAGUCAGAGUUACGUAGGAGAGGCAGAGGCAGAGAGAAAGAGAACCUUGAAUCCAAUGAUCCACUCACCAAAUGGCCGCGAUGGUGAGGGUUAAAUCAGGUCUCCCACAAAAAUGCAGGGGCCCUAGGACUUCAGCCAUCUUUUGCUGCUUUCCCAGGCAUAUUAAUAAUGAGCUGCAUUGGAAGUGGAACAGCAGGGAUUAGAAAUGGCACCUAUAUGGGACACCAGUGCUGCAGGCACUGGAUUUACCCACUAUUUCACACUGCCAGCCCCUCAUCUCUAACUUAAUUAAUUUGGAUCUUCUGCCCUCUGUUUUUUGUUAUUUGAGCCAAUGGUGUAUCAAUUUUGUUUAUUUUUUUCAAAAAGCUAGGUUAUCAUUUCACUGACUUUGUAUUUUUUGUUUGAAUUUUAUUUCUUCUUUAAUUUUAAUUAUUAUUCCCUCUUACUAAUUUUUGAUUUGGUUUAUUGUUGUUUUUCUAGGUCCUUCAGAUGCAUUUCUUAUGAGGGACUCCAAAUAAUCUCCCACCUGCAAAACCUAGUGGUGCUGUAAGAGAUUGAUGGUUUCUGCAUAAAUCUUUCUGCUGGAACAUCAAGAUGGCACUACAGCAAUAUUAACUAUUAAAAAUUCACAAAAUUCCCAUCAGUACUACACUUUGCAUGACUUUUAAAGUUCAUGAAAAAUGUGCUUAUUUACUGCUAUCAUAAAAAGGAUGUGAUUCGGGGCCAGUAUAGUGGAUAAAGCUGGUGCCUGCAGUGCUGGCAUCCCAUAUGGGUGCCAAUUCAAGUCCCGGCUGCUCCACUUCUGAUCCAGCUCUCUGCUAUGGCCUGAGAAAGUUGUGGAAGAUGGCCCAAGUCCUUGAGACCCUGCACCUACGUGAGAAGACCCAGAGGAAGCUCCUGGCUCCAGAUCCGCACAGCUCUGGCCACUACGGGCAAUUCAGGAGUGAUCCAGCAGAUGGAACACUUCUCUCUGCCUCUACUUCUUUUUGUGUAACUCUUGACUGUCAAAUAAAAUAAUUCAGUCUUUAAAAAAAUGGGUUUCAUGUACUGUAGCACUAUUAUUCCCCAAAGGUUUGGGUGUAAACCUAAUAUACCUCUAGUCUCUCCUAUGAGACUCUAUAAUUAUGAAAAUGAGGCAUAAUAUGUUUAUAGUGAGAUAAGCAAAUAUCUAAUAGAAUCGAAUAAAUGGUCCAGAUGGUUUCUUGAACAUUAUACACACACAACUUAAAACUGUUACUUCCUAUGGUUCUAAACUGAAACGUACAACAGAGAUCAUCUAGUAUCAAAGAUAAUAUUAUACCAUAAAUAAAAUGACUCUCCAAGGUUAUAUAGUAUUGUUUUAAAAUAUUGAAAUACUUUACCUUUAAAAAAAACUUGGUAACAACUUAAUAUGUUAUCCCUCUUAAUAUUUUUUGGUUCUACUUAAUACUUUUGGUUGAAUACUGUAAUCAAUACACAAUUAUUCUUAAGUGCUGAAACUUAACUGAAAAGUGAUCGCUGUUAAAUAUAAGAGUAGGAAUAAGAGAGGGAAGAGAUGUGCAAUUUGGGACAUGCUCAAGCUGACUUGCCCCAAAUGGUAGAGUUAGAAACAUACCAGGGGAUUCCAAUUCAAUCCCAUCAAGGUGGCAUGUACCAAUGCCAUCUCACUAGUCCCAGUGAUCAAUUUCUGUUCACAAUUGAUCAUAAUGAUAGGACUAAGAACCAAAGGGAUCACAUAAACAAGACUAGUGUCUGCAAAUACUAGCUGAUAGAAUAAAAAAGGGAGAGAACAAUCCAACAUGGGAAGUGAGAUACACAGCAGACCCAUAGAAUGGCAGAUGUCCUAAACAGCACUCUGGCCUCAGAAUCAGCCCUUAAGGCAUGCGGAUCCGGCUGAAAAGCCCAUGAGACUAUUUCAGGCAUGGAAAGCCAAGACACUCUGAGGAAAAAAAAAAAAAAAAACCUAAAUGAAAGAUCUCUGUGAGUGA
Non-coding RNA from Oryctolagus cuniculus (rabbit), 5204 nucleotides. The record is from RefSeq and is a predicted model, not a curated record. NCBI's taxonomy places the organism in Eukaryota, Metazoa, Chordata, Mammalia, Lagomorpha, Leporidae.